Long non-coding RNA from Anthonomus grandis grandis, 5468 nucleotides. RefSeq lists it as uncharacterized. The transcript is spliced from 2 exons. The record is from RefSeq and is a predicted model, not a curated record. NCBI's taxonomy places the organism in Eukaryota, Metazoa, Arthropoda, Insecta, Coleoptera, Curculionidae.
UUGUCAUUUUAAAGAACAAUAAAUUUUUCAAAUUAAUCCUACACAAAUAGUACAAAGCAAGCCUUUUUUAAAAUUAAUAUAGAUGUAAAAUUUAAAAGUAAAUAUAUUUUAGAAAUUAAAAAAUCUUAUCUUCCGGUUUUUUAUGUUAUGCCUACUAAUUUUAUGCCUUGAUAAACUUUGUUUUGAUUAAUAUUGAUUAUUUUCACAUUAAACUUUUCCAUUUUUGAAUAAUAACUUUCAUAAAGUACAAUCAGCAAUAUCAAAUUGAACAUGUCUAAAAUAUUCCAAAACAGAUAUGAUUUUACAGACCUGAAGAAAACUAAGAGACUGACCAAUUAUGUGUGAUGUUGACCACAAUGUUUAAUUUCUUGUGAGGCAUAUAGGUGUCACAAUGGAAAUAUUGAGAAUAAUAUAAAAACUGACUCUAGUAGUUUUUGGUCCUUGGAUCCUGUGGUGUAAAUAAUAAAAUUUCAUCAUGGUUUUCUUAUGGGGUUGUAAACAUUAGAUCAAAUAGUUUUAAUAGUACAUUGAAAUUGAUCAGGUUCUCAAAAGCAUUAAAUAAUGAAAACCAAAAAAAGUCAUGGGUGUGCAAGGUCUCUUUAUGUGCCUCUCACACUCUUUAAUUUGCCUGUUAAACAAAGUAAAUUUCCAGAUAACUUAAAGCAUGCAGUUAUAACACCUAUAUGUAAAUCUGGUAUUGCUAGUAAUCUUGAGAACUAUAAGUCUAUAUCUGUCAUCAAUUCACUUGCUAAAAUAUUAAAAGACAUGCUUUAUAACAAUAUUUUAAAUUAUUUUAGAGAUACAUUAAUGGACAAAAGUAUAUAGGCAAAGAAUUAUAACACAAUGCUUCAUCCAAUAUACCCUUAUUUAAGCUGAAAUAUAAAGGAAUAAUUCCUCGGUACCUAAUUGUUAUUAAAUACAAAUACAUAUAUAAAUUACUCAUAUAUGUAAAGCACUACAAAAAAAAAUUAAAUGUUAAGGGACAAAGAUAUAUAGACAAAUGUAAAAAAAUAUAAAAAAAUUAAGAAAUUAGCUGAACUUCUGCAAAUAAAUAUGUUUUUGUAAAAUAACAGACUUAAUACUUUGUCGCAUAACCAUUGUUUUUAAUAACUGUCUGGAAUCUUCGUGGCAUGGACGGGGAUUUGUUUCUAUUUUUCUUCCAAAGCCGUGAAAAGCUCAUUUUUAUUGGAAUACUUUUUAUCUCUAAUUUUUCUGUCCAAGUGUUCCCACAUGUUCUCAGUAGGAUUGAGUUCAGGGGACUGUGAAGGCCAUUUCAACAGAACCAUUUGUUCAUCCCUAAUAAAUCCCUUAGCUAUCUCAGAGGUGUGUUUCAGGUCAUUAUUUUGUUGAAACAGUGAUCUCACUGGCAUGUGGUCCUCCAUAUAGGGUAGCAUUAUGUUUUUAAGGAUAUUGACAUAAAAAAAUCUAUCUAUAAUACCUUCAAUUUUAUGUUUAAGACCUACUUCAAACCUUCAAAAAACACCCCCUAAUCAUCACAGAUCUGCCGCCAUGUUUUUAUUUUGUUUAUUUAUUUAGAAAAUGUACAGGGUGUCCCAUUAAGAAUGUUCCUCGGCUGUAUCUCAGGCCCCAAUUAUCGUAGAGCGUUGAAAAAAAAAUUAGUAUAAAAGUGGCCCAAAAAAAAUAGCUGGAAAAUAUUUUGAAGUUCAUUGGUCAAUCGCUAGAGGGCGUUCUAGCUACUUAAAAACUUUAAAGUCUAUUUUUUCCAAAAAACCUUUAAUAACUUGCAUCCCAAAAUAUUAUCGAAAUAAUCUACAAAGUAUUCCUGACAAAAAUGUUUUGACAACCAUUUCUGUCAAAUGUCAAAUAAAGUGGUGGGGAGAGUUUCUAUCUUAAAUGAGAAAAAUGGUAAGAAGUAGGCUUUGGCUGCACCGAUUUUUUUAAAACAACUUUUAUUUAAAAGCUCUUUUAUUGCUUUAUUUUUCUACCAAAAAGAUAUUAUUGGAAAAUGUUCCUAAAACCCGCGAGGGGGCGUCUACUUCUAACUUACGCUAUUCGACUGAUUAUUUUAAGAAACUCAAAUGCAACCAUGUGUGUUUUUUUACGGUAUUAGGAGGGGAGAACAAAGCUUAAUAAUUUAGUAAAAACCGCAUUUUGAUAUCACGUCUCUAACUAAAGUUACACAAAAAAAAAUUUGUUCAUUAGAAAGUGAAAACAUCAAAUAUGGUCGUUAAAAAAACUGGUGUCUAAAUGAAUCUUUGUGUAGAGAAACAAUCUUGGUAUACCAGCUUUUUAGAAAUUCCGGAAGGUGGCGUUUAUUUAUACACUUCUUUAUAAAGGAGUUUCAGCGGGAAUAAAUCUAUUCAGUAUGGGAAAACUAUGCAUAGGAACGUUUAAAAUUUCUGGACAACGUAGCAACAAAUAAUACCACAUGAUGUGCUAAAAUAAGUUAAAAGAAUAAUAUUGAAAAAAAUACAGCAACAUAUUAGUUGUGUUCAUAAAGGAACUAAAAAUUGAAGUUUAUAUAAGACUGUCGGUUAGCAGUUUAUUCGAGUAUAAACAAAUAGGUAAUUAAAUUAUGCCAAUUUUAAUAAUAAGUUGGCUUUGAAUUUGUUUAAAAAACAAAAAGGCCGGUGACAACUCUGUGACAGCUGCUUAAAAGUUUUCGGUGGUCCUAUAAAUUUAGUUAUUCAUUUCGAUCAGAGUUUAUUCUUUGACUUUAAUUUAAAAUGCGUCUGUCUUUGCAAGAGUCGGUAAAUGUUAUCAAAAUUUUUUAUGAAUGUUUUGAAAAUGCUGAAUGCUUGAAAAUACUAUAAUGAAUGCUUGAAAAUACUAUAGCUGCAAGGCUGUAUGCUCAACGUUUUCCUCAAAACCGGCGUCUGAAUAGAGGCAUAUUUCUUCGUUUGGCCCGUCGUUUUCGGACAACAGGUAGUGUAGUCUAUCCAACCUACCGUAGGUAAGGUCGCAGGAGAACGGAGGAAAACAAUAAAUUGUUUGGCCUAUGUAGAAUUUGAAUCGCACUUAGGCAUCAGAACUAUUUCAGGCGAUUUAGGCAUACCUCGUUCUGUAAUUCACAGAAUUUUGCAGGAACACAGGUAUAACACAAUUUUUCAAAAAUAACUGCCUAGAUACUUACUUAAUUUAAUUUUUUUUGCAUAUAGAUUUCAUCCAUUCCAUAUAGUACUCCACCAGGCAUUAAAUCUAGAAGACUAUGACAGAAGACUAGAUUAUUGUCAUUGGUGGAGAAUAUGUUGCUCGAAAAUCCAAGUUUUCUCAACGAAAUUUUAUGGACAGACGAAGCAACGUUCAAUAGUGACGGAGUAGUUAACAGACAUAAUAUGCACUAUUAGUCUGAAACUAACCCUCGUUGGAUGCGCGAGAUCCAGCAUCAGGGAAGGUGGAGUGUUAAUGUCUGGUGCGGUGUAAUACGAUCUCAGGUUAUAGGUCCAUUUUUAUUUGAUGAGAGCCUAACUAGAGAACGAUAUCUUGGAUUUUUAAGAAAUGAGCUCCCAGCAUUAUUAGAAGAGGUGCCUCUGGUUAUAAGAGCCAACAUGUUUUUACAACAUGACGGAUGCCCAGCUCAUUUCGCGGUACAAGUGCGAACGUUCCUUAAUCAGCGGUACCCUGAUCGGUGGAUUGGCAGCUGUAGCUUUUUGGCCGACAAGAUCGCCACAUUUAACCUGCCUUGACUUAUUUAUGGGGUAGAAUAAAUGCCAUUGUAUUUUCUUCGACUUCCUGUAUAAAGAAGUGUAUAAAUAAACGCAACCUUCCGGAAUUUCUAAAAAGCUUGAUUCUAAGCUAAAAAGAUUGUUUCUCUACACAAAGAUUCAUUUAAACACCAGUUUUUGUAACCGGGCUGCUAAAUAGAACUUAACGACCAUAUUUGAUGUUUUUACUUUCUAAUGAACAAAUUUUUUUUGUAUCUUUAGUUAGAGACGUGAUAUCAAAAUGCGGUUUUCACUAAAUUAUUAAGCUUUGUUCUCCGCUCUUAAUACCGUAAAAAAACACACAUGGUUGCAUUUAAGUUUCUUAAAAUAAUCAGUCGAAUAGCGUAAAUUAGAAGUAGACGCCCCCUAGCGGGUUUUAGGAAAAUUUGCCAAUAAUAUCUUUUUGGUAGAAAAAUAAAGCAAUAAAAGAGCUUUUAAAUAAAAGUUGUUUUAAAAAAAUAGGUGCAGCCAAAGCCUACUUCUUACCAUUUUUCUCAUUUAAGAUAGAAACUCUCCCCACCACUUUAUUUGACAUUUGACAGAAAUGGUUGUCAAAACAUUUUUGUCAGGAAUACUUUGUAGAUUAUUUCGAUAAUAUUUUGGGAUGCAAGUUAUUAAAGGUUUUUUGGAAAAAAUAGACUAUAAAGAUUUUAAGUAGCUAGAACGCCCUCUAGCGAUUGACCAAUGAACUUCAAAAUAUUUUCCAGCUAUUUUUUUUGGGCCACUUUUAUACUAAUUUUUUUUCAACACUCUACGAUUAUUGGGGCCUAAGAUACAGCCGAGGAACAUUCUUAAUGGGGCACCCUGUACAGUACAAACAUGUGUUUAAUCCUAUCUCUAGAUCUGAGUUUCACAAAUUUGUUUUAUGCACCUAGGUAUUUACCUGUAUGUGCAGAAGUUUAUUAUAAUUCAUUUCUAAUAUUAAAUUAUGACACAAGUGAAAUAAUGUAUUCCUGUAGCCUUAACUUAUUAACAAUAUUGAUUAUUAAUAACAAAAUUUAUAUUCAAUGAUCAUUGAGACAGUUUUACAUGAACAAUCCCCAAAAAAUACCCAUUUGACCUUAAACAAUCUGACAAUACAUCACAAUAAAUUACAAAAAUUUUAACAGAUUAUUCAUUUUUUUUUUGAAAUAAAUAUUUUGACAUGUUUCAAUAUAUUGAUAAUAAUUUUUUAGUUUUCUUAUAACUAUUAGGUAGCAAAUUAUACAGGGUGUUUCAAAAUUCACUACUUAUAUUUUAAGGGCAUAUUUCUGACGUCAAAAUAAGACUGUUUUUUCCUAUAAACAUGGGUCCUAAAAUGCACCCCCUUCAAGCUACAGCCAUCGCAAGAAGUGUAAAAAAAUCGAUUUUUUAAAACUGUGUCUACAGUUUUGCAUCAAAUUUAACGAAAUUUAGAAUACGCCCGUUAUUUUAGGCGGUCUAUUUACUCUUUAUCUUAGAAAAGGCGUAAAACUAAUUUUAAGGAGUAAACUGAGGGGGUGCACACUUUUGACGGGCAAAAUUUUAUGUGUACAUACAUUUUUUUAAAAAUUAAGCUACACCAAAAAAUAGACCAUACAAAAAUUUUAAUUUUUGGUUUUGCAUUUUUUUCAUACGACUAUUAGUUUUUGAGAAAAUCGCCGGUGAAUAAAAGGAUAGCAAUAUCGUAAAUUAAAAAUCAAAGAAAAAAUUUAGGAAGUCGGCUGUGUUUCGCAAUUGUUGACAUUUUUAUUUUUGAGGUUUUAGUAGUAGGCUGUGAGUAUUUGUUUUAGACAUUUUUUAACUUGCUUGACAUUUGGUGUAAAAUAAAUUUACUGUCAUUGU